Molecule: ribosomal RNA, 432 nt
Filed under: uncultured bacterium
Lineage: Bacteria
Description: partial 16S ribosomal RNA
Rfam family: Bacterial small subunit ribosomal RNA
Source: RNAcentral
AACGAACGCUGGCGGCAGGCCUAACACAUGCAAGUCGAGCGAGAUCUUCGGGUCUAGCGGCGGACGGGUGAGUAACGCGUGGGAAUAUGCCCUUCUCUGCGGAAUAGCCUCGGGAAACUGAGCGUAAUACCGCAUACGCCCUUUGGGGGAAAGAUUUAUCGGAGAAGGAUUAGCCCGCGUUGGAUUAGGUAGUUGGUGGGGUAACGGCCUACCAAGCCGACGAUCCAUAGCUGGUUUGAGAGGAUGAUCAGCCACACUGGGACUGAGACACGGCCCAGACUCCUACGGGAGGCAGCAGUGGGGAAUUUUAGACAAGGGGGGCAACCCUGAUCUAGCCAUGCCGGGGGAGGGAUGAAGGCCUUAGGGUUGUAAAGCUCUUUCAGCUGGGAAGAUAAUGACGGUACCAGAAGAAGAAGCCCCGGCUAACUCCGU